AAAAACACACACAAAAGCUCUCACACAAAAGAAGAAGCAAUUUCCGUCACUUUCAAACCUAGCUGCAGAGGUCGUCGAUUUCCCGGAGAUUGAACCGUUGGAUCACUCUGAUUUUUGGGCACAGUCAUCACGACAUCAGGGCGACCUUAUCCAACGGUCAGUUUGUCUUAAUCGCCACCGGAAGUCUGUCUGCACAGCCUCUGUUCGCUGCUGCAGAAUUUGGUGAUAUUCCUUCUUUUGUCUUUGUAUUUUGAUUCCAUAUGCUUGAAGUUGUUGAUUCCAAGUACUUUGUAUUGCUCUAAUUUGGUGAUAGUGGAUUUGAAGCGGCUCUAGUAGUCCCGUGGUUUUUACUCUCGUUUUUUAUAGGUUUUCCAAGCUAAAAUUUGGUGUUCUUGUUAUUGUUUUCGGAUUGUUUAGAUUGUAGUCGACAUACCCUAUUUGUUUGCAUCCUCAUAGGUGCAUUCAAGUUUGGGAAAAUUCUUGGUCAAACGAAGUUUGCUUCCGCAUUUGUGUUUACCAUUUGUGACCGGGUUUCGCGUUUUUCCCAUCGCUAAUUUACCUCAUUGCCCUGUGUCGGAUGGUUCGCCAUUGUCUUUGUUCGUUCCUGUGCCUAAUUGUGCUCUUGAUCCGGUUAAUGCUUCGUCCCUUGCAGUGGCGGUGGCGGGAACUUCACCGGUGAUUCCUCCUCAAGUACCUUUGACUUUAGCUCAAGGAUCUAGUCCUACUCUGGCUGAUAAUCCGACUGCUGAUAUAGGGAUUAACAAUUAAAAGGGUGGAGUUAAAACCCGGGUGAUAUUUCCAGCCAAAGUCCCGGUAGCAGUUUCUAUUGUAACUUGGCUAAUUUUUUUUUGUUAAUACUUAGUUUACGUAUCUUCUUUUAAUUUGGAAUUUAUGAUUUGAUAUGUCUAUUUUGAUGUUCAUGAUUUGCUAGCUAUGAGUUUUCUGU
RNAcentral lists this long non-coding RNA (946 nucleotides) under Helianthus annuus (common sunflower). Its description in RNAcentral is "hypothetical non coding rna". Lineage: Eukaryota; Viridiplantae; Streptophyta; Magnoliopsida; Asterales; Asteraceae. The record is from RNAcentral.